GAUGACAAAGCCAAACCUAUCGUGAGGUAGGGACGGAAAGCUCCAGGUCUCGACCGAGAUGGCUGAGCUGCCUCUU
This 76-nucleotide non-coding RNA is filed under the name Vibrio sp. RNAcentral describes it as "c-di-GMP sequence". It matches the Rfam family "c-di-GMP-I-GGC riboswitch aptamer". Lineage: Bacteria; Pseudomonadati; Pseudomonadota; Gammaproteobacteria; Vibrionales; Vibrionaceae. The record is from RNAcentral.